Molecule: non-coding RNA, 21 nt
Filed under: Caenorhabditis elegans
Lineage: Eukaryota; Metazoa; Nematoda; Chromadorea; Rhabditida; Rhabditidae
Source: RNAcentral
UUUAAGAUUGCUUUGAGCGAA